This 66-nucleotide microRNA precursor is filed under the name anatid alphaherpesvirus 1. Its description in RNAcentral is "Anatid alphaherpesvirus 1 microRNA dev-mir-D22 precursor". Its record names the gene dev-mir-D22. The record is from miRBase by way of RNAcentral. Lineage: Duplodnaviria; Heunggongvirae; Peploviricota; Herviviricetes; Herpesvirales; Orthoherpesviridae.
UCCAGUUACCCGCCCAUGCGUGACUGCCGUAUGAACAAAGGCGGUCACACAAGGCGGCUAGCAGGA